Molecule: ribosomal RNA, 533 nt
Filed under: Hypogymnia enteromorphoides
Lineage: Eukaryota; Fungi; Ascomycota; Lecanoromycetes; Lecanorales; Parmeliaceae
Description: partial large subunit ribosomal RNA
Rfam family: Eukaryotic large subunit ribosomal RNA
Source: RNAcentral
GUGAUCGAAAGAUGAAAAGCACUUUGGAAAGAGAGUCAAGCAGUUCGUGAAAUUGUUGAAAGGGAAGSGCUUGCAACUAGACCUGUCCGUAGGUGAUCMGCCGCWGUUUUCAGUGGUGCACUCGCUCUGCGAUCAGGCCAGCAUCGGUUCGGGCGGUCSSAUAAAGGCCUUGGGAAUGUAGCUUCCUUCGGGGAGUSUUAUAGCCCUMGGUGCAAUGCGGCCASCCGGGRCCGAGGACCGCGCUUCGGCUAGGAUGCUGGCGUAAUGGUUGUAAGCGACCCCUCUUGAAACACGGACCAMGGAGUSUAACAUCUAUGCGAGWGUUUGGGUGUUAAACCCMYGCGCGGAAWGAAAGUGAACGGAGGUGAGAACCCUUAAGGGCGCAUCAUCGACCGAUCCAGAUGUCUUCGGAUGGAUUUGAGUAWGAGCAUAGCUGUUGGGACCCGAAAGAUGGUGAACUAUGCCUSAAUAGGGUGAAGCCAGAGGAAACUCUGGUGGAGGCUCGCAGCGGUUCUGACGUGCAAAUCGAUCGU